Long non-coding RNA from Oncorhynchus tshawytscha (Chinook salmon), 412 nucleotides. The record is from Ensembl. Lineage: Eukaryota; Metazoa; Chordata; Actinopteri; Salmoniformes; Salmonidae.
AGCUCAGAGAGCUGGAGAGAGACGUGGUGGAGCUCAGAGAGAGACGUGGUGGAGCUCAGAGAGCUGGAGACAGACAUGGUGGAGCUCAGAGAGACGUGGUGGAGCUCAGAGAGCUGGAGAGAGACAUGGUGGAGCUCAGAGAGCUGGAGAGACAUGGUGGAGCUCAGAGAGCUGGAGAGAGACAUGGUGGAGCUCAGAGAGAGACGUGAUGGAGCUCAGAGAGAGACGUGGUGGAGCUCAGAGAGAGACGUGGUGGAGCUCAGAGAGAGACGUGGUGGAGCUCAGAGAGCUGGAGAGAGACAUGGUGGAGCUCAGAGAGAGACGUGGUGGAGCUCAGAGAGCUGGAGAGACAUGGUGGAGCUCAGAGAGCUGGAGAGAGACAUGGUGGAGCUCAGAGAGCUGGAGAGAGACA